UGUCACUUGGCCUUCAUUAGUCAGCAUAUUGCAUUUGCCAAACCUAAUUUCUGGACUCUUCUUUACCAUCUCCAUUCUGUCUUUUUUUAUUAUUACCAGGUUAUUCUCUAAACUCUUUCCAUUCAUCGCAUCCAUCUAUUAUGCCAACAUUUUUAUUUUCUAACUAUAGAUGAUGACAAGAUAAUCUACGACAAGGUAUCUUCUGUAAGACCCGUGAAUUAGGAAGGUGGGACAAGGUGGUCACCCACCAUUUCCCUAAAACACGGGUGCUUGUUUGGAGGAGGGAUGCAUUAUUGAUACAAGGAAAGAAGAAAAGGGGGCGGCUGGGGGAAGAGGGUGUGUUUUUCAGUUUUUUUAUUUUGGGGGUGUCUUUUGAGAGAAGGGAAUCAGAAAGCGUAGGAAGUUUAUGGGGGACAGUGUGUUUCGUUUGUUUUUGGCUUGAAGAGUGAGAGAGAGAGAGCCGUGAGAGAGAGAGAGCCGUGAGAGAGAGAGAGAGCCGUGAGGGAGAGGGAGCAGCAGGAGGAAGGGAGCCUUCCUUCCUUCCGUUUCCAGCCGUUCGAAGAUCACCUGGGAGCUUUACCAACUUCAGGAAGACUGAGAUGGAUCUGGGUUGAGUUGUUGCAAUGUUUGCUGGGAGAAGAAGAAGUGAAGAACUCUUAAAGAUUGGAAGAAGAUCAAACUCUCUAGAAAUGAUUCAAGGAGGUCUUCAAGAGACGUUGUUGAAGAGGUUUCCCUUGAAGCAAGAGCUGGAGGUUGCUGAUGUUGCAGAAUAGUCUUCUUAGAGUUUCCUGAUUGAACACUUGUAGUGUUUAAUCCUUUCAAAUGUUCAAGUUUAAAUUUUCAGUGUCUGUUAUUGGUGAAUGACUGUAAUUUCAUAUUUAAUUACACUUCAUACUCCGACUGUUCCCUAUAUUUGGAUGUUAACGUCUUUAUUAUAUAAUAUUGGUUAUUAUAUAAUCGGGAUGUGACAUUAAUGGUAUCAGAGCAGUUCGUCCUUAGGAUGACCUUUGUGUUGUAGGUUUGCCGUGUCUUCUCUGUGAAGACUUGGGUGUAGAUGGUAUGAUGUACCAUUUCUUUCAAGUCUAGAUUGUGGUGUGUGUAUCUAACUAGAAGUUUUGAUAACAGAAAACGUCUUGAUAGGAGUGAUGAGGGUGCACACUCAUGACUUUUACCGUAGAUGAUUUUCCUUUCUUAAUUCUGAAGGUUUGAGGUAAGAAAGAGUUAGAGUUUCAGUGU
Molecule: small RNA, 1236 nt
Filed under: Vigna angularis var. angularis
Lineage: Eukaryota; Viridiplantae; Streptophyta; Magnoliopsida; Fabales; Fabaceae
Description: Non-protein coding transcript
Source: RNAcentral